Molecule: ribosomal RNA, 513 nt
Filed under: uncultured bacterium
Lineage: Bacteria
Description: partial 16S ribosomal RNA
Rfam family: Bacterial small subunit ribosomal RNA
Source: RNAcentral
GGUGAACGCUGGCGGCGUGCCUAAUACAUGCAAGUCGAGCGAACAGAUAAGGAGCUUGCUCCUUUGACGUUAGCGGCGGACGGGUGAGUAACACGUGGGUAACCUACCUAUAAGACUGGGAUAACUUCGGGAAACCGGAGCUAAUACCGGAUAACAUUUGGAACCGCAUGGUUCUAAAGUGAAAGAUGGUUUUGCUAUCACUUAUAGAUGGACCCGCGCCGUAUUAGCUAGUUGGUAAGGUAACGGCUUACCAAGGCGACGAUACGUAGCCGACCUGAGAGGGUGAUCGGCCACACUGGAACUGAGACACGGUCCAGACUCCUACGGGAGGCAGCAGUAGGGAAUCUUCCGCAAUGGGCGAAAGCCUGACGGAGCAACGCCGCGUGAGUGAUGAAGGGUUUCGGCUCGUAAAACUCUGUUAUUAGGGAAGAACAAACGUGUAAGUAACUGUGCACGUCUUGACGGUACCUAAUCAGAAAGCACCGACUAACUACGUGCCAGCAGCCGCCGCAG